RNAcentral lists this ribosomal RNA (465 nucleotides) under uncultured bacterium. RNAcentral's name for it is "partial 16S ribosomal RNA". It matches the Rfam family "Bacterial small subunit ribosomal RNA", at positions 28 to 507 of the family's 1533-position model. The record is from RNAcentral.
GACGAACGCUGGCGGCGUGCUUAACACAUGCAAGUCGAACGGAAAGGCCCUGCUUGCAGAGUACUCGAGUGGCGAACGGGUGAGUAACACGUGGGUGAUCUGCCCUGCACUUCGGGAUAAGCCUGGGAAACUGGGUCUAAUACCGGAUAGGAGCCAUUUUUAGUGUGAUGGUUGGAAAGUUUUUUCGGUGUAGGAUGAGCUCGCGGCCUAUCAGCUUGUUGGUGGGGUAAUGGCCUACCAAAGCGGCGACGGGUAGCCGGCCUGAGAGGGUGGACGGCCACAUUGGGACUGAGAUACGGCCCAGACUCCUACGGGAGGCAGCAGUGGGGAAUAUUGCACAAUGGGCGCAAGCCUGAUGCAGCGACGCCGCGUGGGGGAUGACGGCCUUCGGGUUGUAAACUCCUUUCGCUAGGGACGAAGCUUUUUGUGACGGUACCUAGAUAAGAAGCACCGGCUAACUACGUG